This 229-nucleotide ribosomal RNA is filed under the name uncultured bacterium. RNAcentral describes it as "partial 16S ribosomal RNA". It matches the Rfam family "Bacterial small subunit ribosomal RNA", at positions 524 to 752 of the family's 1533-position model. The record is from RNAcentral.
UACGGAGGAUCCAAGCGUUAUCCGGAAUCAUUGGGUUUAAAGGGUCCGUAGGCGGUUUUGUAAGUCAGUGGUGAAAGCCCAUCGCUCAACGGUGGAACGGCCAUUGAUACUGCAAGACUUGAAUUAUUGGGAAGCAACUAGAAUAUGUAGUGUAGCGGUGAAAUGCUUAGAGAUUACAUGGAAUACCAAUUGCGAAGGCAGGUUGCUACCAAUACAUUGACGCUGAUGG